Molecule: unclassified non-coding RNA, 362 nt
Filed under: Hevea brasiliensis (rubber tree)
Lineage: Eukaryota; Viridiplantae; Streptophyta; Magnoliopsida; Malpighiales; Euphorbiaceae
Source: RNAcentral
UACAAGACAACUACUGAAUUUCAAAUAAUAAUAAUAAAUACACACAGGACAAGACUACAGAUAAUGCGACCCCAAUCAAUAAACAAGUUCUAAACAUAUUUAUCCACAAUCUUCAUUUAGCAUAAAAUAUGUUUAACCAGAAACAGAACUCCAUCCCCUAGUAAAAGGUCUAAUUGCCCUUUAUCCUGAGCAAUUUUUACAGAAUCCACAAAAUAGCCUUAACGAUUCACAUUCAGAUAUAAUCAUCACUACAUUAAGCCUUCUCCCCAGUAAGAAGAUCCAUCACUACGCGCUUGAUACUCCCAUUGUUCUUCUUCAGCAGGUUCCUGUUCAUUUCUUUGUUAGAAAAACCCAUCUCCUCC